This 500-nucleotide ribosomal RNA is filed under the name uncultured bacterium. Its description in RNAcentral is "partial 16S ribosomal RNA". It matches the Rfam family "Bacterial small subunit ribosomal RNA", at positions 30 to 523 of the family's 1533-position model. The record is from RNAcentral.
AUUGAACGCUGGCGGCAGGCUUAACACAUGCAAGUCGAGCGGGGAAAGGUAGCUUGCUACCUGACCUAGCGGCGGACGGGUGAGUAAUGCUUAGGAAUCUGCCUAUUAGUGGGGGACAACAUUCCGACAGGAAUGCUAAUACCGCAUACGACCUACGGGGAAAGCAGGGGAUCUUCGGACCCUGCGCUAGUAGAUGAGCCUGAGUGAGAUUAGCUAGUUGGUGGGGUAAAGGCCUACCAAGGCGACGAUCUGUAACGGGUCUGAGAGGAUGAUCCGCAACACUGGGACUGAGACACGGCCCAGACUCAUACGGGAGGCAGCAGUGGGGAAUAUUGGACAAUGGGCGAAAGCCUGAUCCAGCCAUGCCGCGUGUGUGAGGAAGGCCUUUUGGUUGUAAAGCACUUUAAGCGAGGAGGAGGCUACUUGGAUUAAUACACUAGGAUAGUGGACGUUACUCGCAGAAUAAGCACCGGCUAACUCUGUUACAGCAGCCGCAGUAA